RNAcentral lists this ribosomal RNA (468 nucleotides) under uncultured bacterium. Its description in RNAcentral is "partial 16S ribosomal RNA". It matches the Rfam family "Bacterial small subunit ribosomal RNA", at positions 28 to 507 of the family's 1533-position model. The record is from RNAcentral.
GACGAACGCUGGCGGCGUGCUUAACACAUGCAAGUCGAACGGAAAGGCCCUGCUUUUGUGGGGUUCUCGAGUGGCGAACGGGUGAGUAACACGUGAGUAACCUGCCCUUGACUUUGGGAUAUCUUCAGGAAACUGGGGCUAAUACCGGAUAGGAGCUCCUGCUGCAUGGUGGGGGUUGGACAGUUUCGGCGGUGGUGGAUGGAUUCGCGGCUUAUCAGCUUGUUGGUGGAGUAGUGGCUUACCCAGGCUUUGACGGGUAGCCCGCCUGGGAGGUUGACCGGGGUCAUGGCGACUGAGAGACGGAGCAGACGCGUACGUGAGGCAACAGUGGAGAAUCUGGCACAACGGGCGGGAGUGUGUGGCAGAGAUCCCGCGUGCGGGAAGACGUCCUUCGUGGUGUGAACCGCUGUCGCCUGUGACGAAGCGUUAUUGACGGUAACGGGUAAAGAAGCACCGGCUAACUACGUG